Molecule: ribosomal RNA, 497 nt
Filed under: uncultured bacterium
Lineage: Bacteria
Description: partial 16S ribosomal RNA
Rfam family: Bacterial small subunit ribosomal RNA
Source: RNAcentral
GACGAACGCUGGCGGCGUGCCUAAUACAUGCAAGUAGAACGCUGAAGCGAGGAGCUUGCUCUUCUUGGAUGAGUUGCGAACGGGUGAGUAACGCGUAGGUAACCUGCCUUGUAGCGGGGGAUAACUAUUGGAAACGAUAGCUAAUACCGCAUAACAAUGGAUGACACAUGUCAUUUAUUUGAAAGGGGCAAUUGCUCCCCUACAAGAUGGACCUGCGUUGUAUUAGGUAGUAGGUGAGGUAAUGGCUCACCUAGGCGACGAUACAUAGCCGACCUGAGAGGGGGAUAGGCCACACUGGGACUGAGACACGGCCCAGACUCCUACGGGAGGCAGCAGUAGGGAAUCCUCGGCAAUGGGGGCAACCCUGACCGAGCAACGCCGCGUGAGUGAAGAAGGUUUUCGGAUCGGAAAGCUCUGUUGUAAGUCAAGAACGGGUGUGAGAGUGGAAAGUUCACACUGUGACGGUAGCUUAACAGAAAGGGACGGCUAACUACGUG